CCUACGGGAGGCAGCAGUGGGGAAUAUUGCACAAUGGGCGAAAGCCUGAUGCAGCAACGCCGCGUGAGCGAUGAAGGCCUUCGGGUCGUAAAGCUCUGUCCUCAAGGAAGAUAAUGACGGUACUUGCGGAGGAAGCCCCGGCUAACUACGUGCCAGCAGCCGCGGUAAUACGUAGGGGGCUAGCGUUAUACGGAAUUACUGGGCGUAAGGGGGGCGUAGGUGGUUUCUUAAGUCAGAGGUGAAAGGCUACGGUUCAACCGUAGUAAGCCUUUGAACAUGGGGAACUUGAGUGCAGGAGAGGAGAGUGGAAUUCCUAGUGUAGCGGUGAAAUGCGUAGAUAUUAGGAGGAACACCAGUUGCGAAGGCGGCUCUCUGGACUGUAACUGACACUGAGGCACGAAAGCGUGGGGAGCAAACAGGAUUAGAUACCCGUGUAGUC
This 439-nucleotide ribosomal RNA is filed under the name uncultured bacterium. RNAcentral describes it as "partial 16S ribosomal RNA". It matches the Rfam family "Bacterial small subunit ribosomal RNA", at positions 338 to 795 of the family's 1533-position model. The record is from RNAcentral.